CAAGGUAGUUUACUGUGGUUAGGCAAACUUACUUAAUAAUGGCAAGUGACUUGCUGUGGUUACGCAAAUUCACAAGGUAUAUGCAAAGUAGUUUGCUGUGGCUAUGCAAACUUACUUAAUAAUGGCAAGUGAUUUGCUGUGCAAUGCAAAUUCACAAGGUAUAUGCAAAGUAGUUUACUGUUGCUAUGCAAACUUACUUAAUAAUGGCAAGUGAUUUGCUGUGGCAAUGCAAAUUCACAAGGUAUAUGCAAAGUAGUUUACUGUUGCUAUGCAAACUUACUUAAUAAUGGCAAGUGAUUUGCUGUGGCAAUGCAAAUUCACAAGGUAUAUGCAAAGUAGUUUGCUGUUGCUAUGCAAACUUACUUAAUAAUGGCAAGUGACUUGCUGUGGUUACGCAAAUUCACAAGGUAUAUGCAAAGUAGUUUGCUGUUGCUAUGCAAACUUACUUAAUAAUGGCAAGUGACUUGCUGUGGUUACGCAAAUUCACAAGGUAUAUGCAAGGUAGUUUACUGUGGUUAGGCAAACUUACUUAAUAAUGGCAAGUGACUUGCUGUGGUUACGCAAAUUCACAAGGUAUAUGCAAAGUAGUUUGCUGUGGCUAUGCAAACUUACUUAAUAAUGGCAAGUGAUUUGCUGUGCAAUGCAAAUUCACAAGGUAUAUGCAAAGUAGUUUACUGUUGCUAUGCAAACUUACUUAAUAAUGGCAAGUGAUUUGCUGUGGCAAUGCAAAUUCACAAGGUAUAUGCAAAGUAGUUUACUGUUGCUAUGCAAACUUACUUAAUAAUGGCAAGUGAUUUGCUGUGGCAAUGCAAAUUCACAAGGUACACUUACGUUCAAAAAGUAUUGGGACGAAUUCGAUAAACGAAUUAUGGCGUUCCGUUGGAUUCGGUUUUGCAACGGAAAGUUUUUCAGAUUUGGGCAGUCUUUCUACAAAUAAUCUAGGCCUACUUUUCCCCAAAAUGGAAUAACAAGUUAGGAAAAUGCUUCAACUUAUGAAGCAUAACCAAAAAAACAAAGAAUUCUUUCGAUUUUCCUGAUUAUAACAACAAAAUAUGCAGAAGGGUUGUAUGGCCUAACAAUGGCAAAGUCACAUGACCUUCCAAAAAUUUUAGAGCUGUCCAAACAAAUACAACUUUUUAAUUUCACGUUUGCAUAACAAAAAAAAUUAUCAAAGAAAUUAUAAAAUCAAACUUUUAAGCUUCAAAAAAAGUUUACUUCAUCGACGAAAAUGCUACAAUUUUAUUAAAUUAUUGCAUUUAUUCAAGCUACUUUUAAAAUUGCGUAACAUUCAAGGAGAAGCCAUUGAACUCAUCGUCGAUGAUUAAUUUUAACUUUGAGAGAGCAUUUGUUUUUCUUAUAACGCUGGAAAAUUUGUAUUUUUCAUAACUUUAUAGCCAUAUUUUUGCGUAUGUUCCAUUAUUUAGCUUCUUUUUACAUGACAACAUGAUGUCUGGUAAGGAUUCAAACCUAUUACUUCGCAGUUCCCUCAGUAAAGAACUGUCGUCCCUCGGCGUCGUAAACUUCUUCGGUCUGCCAACCCUUGGUAAAUUUUUUACUGUUCUUGUACCGAAAAACUUUUUACACAGCAGAAAAGCUGCACUCAAUGAGCAGCCGACAAUUGAUGCAAUAUCGUGAAAUCCAUUUGCUUUAUUUUAGUAGAAAGCAAUUUGUAUACGCUUCUCUUAACUCAGUUCUUGAGUUUUCAGAGCUUCCAUGUUUUCGUCUCGAGACCUAUAGAAAUUUUAUGGUCGAUGAUUUUUUAAUUUUUUGGCGUACAUAAAAGGCUUCAAAAUAUCAACAAUGUCUUGUGAAAAUUUCAUGGAAAUAGCUGCCGUACUUUUUUAAUGAGAAGGAUUUUAAAAAAGUCUUUCCAAAUUUGUUGCAUAAAAUGUCUUCGAAGUUUCGAAGUGUGUCCCAAUACUUUUUGAACGUAAGUGUAUAUGCACAGUAGUUUGCUGUUGCUAUGCAAACUUACUUAAUAAUGGCAAGUGAUUUGCUGUGCAAUGCAAAUUCACAAGGUAUAUGCACAGUAGUUUACUGUGGUUAUGCAAACUUACUUAAUAAUGGCAAGUGAUUUGCUGUGGCAAUGCAAAUUCACAAGGUAUAUGCAAAGUAGUUUGCUGUUGCUAUGCAAACUUACUUAAUAAUGGCAAGUGAUUUGCUGUGGCAAUGCAAAUUCACAAGGUAUAUGCAAAGUAGUUUACUGUUGCUAUGCAAACUUACUUAAUAAUGGCAAGUGAUUUGCUGUGGCAAUGCAAAUUCACAAGGUAUAUGCAAAGUAGUUUGCUGUUGCUAUGCAAACUUACUUAAUAAUGGCAAGUGAUUUGCUGUGGCUAUGCAAAUUCACAUGGUAUAACAGCAACCUUCUACCUUAACCUUCUCUUUUGUCUCACUCUUUGCUUUCCCCUCCCUUUUUAACUAGGGAAGAGUCUAGUUUUUCUAAGAUUUUUAUCAUUCAAGGGGUUCUUAGGUCUGUGUUUGAUGGGUAAACAUUAUCAUGUUUUGUGGCGGGUUAAAAAACUGAGAUAGUUUUUUCCCUGAAAUCAAACACCGACCAUAAAUUACGUCAUUGCUCAGGCAAUACAAGGGCUGAUGCACCGAAAGCCCAAAUUGUUUUUCCUGAGAUAGGGAUUUAGUUUUAGAAUUAAAAAGGGGCCCCGCGAAGGAAUUAAAUGGGAAUUAAUCAGUUAAUUCGAGUUAAUACCCGCGGGGAAGGCACACAUCCUCUCUCAAUGGGCAUGUCAGUAUGCACGUUCAUCCUUUCAAGGCUGUCAAUUACAGUUAGCAACCUAUUAUUAUGCAAAUUACAUCAUGGUGCCAUUGCAAGGCAGUGCCCUAGCAUAUCCAGUUGCAGGCCAUUACACAGCACGUGGCUCACGCCACGUUGUAUGCGUUGUUUCCCCCUCCCAGUCCCACCCCUCUCUUUAGUUUUUUCUCUACCUGCCCCUAUUACACUUCCUUCUCCCUCUCUUCCAGCUAGUUCUCACACAGUAUUCACUGCGUGACAGGUGUAUCAGUCUGAUUGGCAGGUUAAAAAACUGAGAUAGUUUUUUCCCUGAAAUCAAACACCGACCAUAAAUUACGUCAUUGCUCAGGCAAUACAAGGGCUGAUGCACCGAAAGCCCAAAUUGUUUUUCCUGAGAUAGGGAUUUAGUUUUAGAAUUAAUAAGGGGCCCCGCGAAGGAAUUAACAAGCACUGUCCAUUCAAACUAUACUAUAGUAACGCACAAUCAAUAAAUCAUCACGCGCGAUUCCAUAAAUCCAAAUACGUAUUCUAUAAAUCCAUACUUCAUGUCGACAAGAUCUUUCACAAGCAUCUUGCCGCAUUUAUAAAACGUCGAGAACCUAAAUAUACAAAAUACAAAAAUCGCCGUCGCUGGCGACAAAAGUCGCCGUCGCUGGCGACGAAAAUCGCCAGUGUGCGCUAGGCUUAAGUUUUGAUUCUGUUGCUAGUCGGGACUUUACCCAGCCAGAACGGUAACAAUGACGAUAACGUUACGGGUCACGAGGUCAGACAGCUAGCGCUUCCGUUUCCGUUGUGAGACAAACUCGAUUAAGCAAAAUCGCGCCGCCAGCAACAGGGGCAAGUUUUAACUUUGCCCGGGAAAAUUUAUUUCUUUAGGAAUUUCAGCACGAUCGAUACUUUCUAUUCUGUUUUGUCAAAAAACAACGAUGCCAAAUAAUCAGGAAGUAGUAAAUGCUUUACAAUUCGCGCAUAAUUUGGGAUAUAUCAAUGAUGUAGAAUUCGCAUUCCUUUAUGAUGUAAAUAGGCCUAGAAAUUUGGAAAUCCCCUACUGGCAGUAUGAUCAAUUCGACCUGGAAAACUUAUCAAAUGACGAAUGCAAAGCUGAAUUCAGGUUUUUAAAGGAAGACAUUUAUAGAUUAAUAAACGUACUUCAAUUGCCUCGAGAGCUUACUAUGUACAAUAGACUCGAAGUAGAUGCAGAAGAGGGCUUGUGUUUAUUGCUGAAAAGGUUUGCAUAUCCAUGCAGAUAUUUGGACAUGGUUCCCCGUUUUGCCAGACCAAUACCGGAGAUGUGCAUCAUAUUCAAUCACACGAUGAAGCUUGUAAACGAUAGAUGGGGGUUUCUUCUUACCCGCUUUAAGCAGCCACAUUUGUCCUCUGCCAACCUAAUAAAGUUUGCAGCUGCCAUUCACGCUAAGGGCGCUCCUUUAACAAAUUGUUGGAAAUUUAUUGAUGGUACCGUGCGACCAAUUUCAAGACCUGAAACAACCAGAGAAUUGUUUAUAACGGACACAAAAGGGUCCAUGCAAUAAAAUUCCAGUCGGUUGCGAUCCCGGAUGGAAUAGUUUCUUUGCUUUCUGGGCCUUACGAAGGGAGGAGCCACGACAGUGAUAUGCUGAGAAACUCAGGACUCCUCCCCCUCCUUGAGCAAUUUUCUGUUUCUCCAGAAGGCCAAGUAAUGUGCCUAUAUGGGGAUCCUGCAUAUCCGCUGCGGCCCCAAUUGCAAGCACCAUUUAAAGGGACACAACUAACAGCAGAGCAGCAGCUGUGGAAUGCGAGAAUGUGCUCAGUAAGAGUUAGCGUCGAAUGGCUCUUUGGAGACAUCAUAAACUGUUUUUGUUUUGUUGACUUUAAAAAGAAUUUAAAAAUACAAUUAAGUGCUGUUGGCAAAAUGUACAGAGUAUAUACACUGCUUAAAAAUGCAAGAUGCUGCUUACAUGGAAGCAUGACAUCUGAGUAUUUUGUUUUAGAUCCGCCUCAAAUCGAGGACUACUUUGCUAUUCCUUGAAAAACAGAUAAAAUUUUCACAGACAACGAUAUUUUUGUGACAGAAUCUAGUUAAAUUUUAAAGAAUCGUGGCAAAGGAAAGUAUGACAUUGAAACUGAAUACAGAAUACGAUAUGAAUAUAAAAACUUUUGAUUAACAACUGUAGAUAACUGAAAAUGACAUACAAACAUUUUGUGAAGGUUGAGGAAAUAAUGACAAACGUGACACAAUAAUUAUAAUUAUAAGCAUUAUCUUUUUGAUAUCUUGAUUUUUUUGAAAUGUUGACACGUUUAAUUUGUAUAUUUAGCAGCAAAAUGGCUUUUAGUUUAGCGCGUAGAAUUUACAGUAGUAAUCAUUUGUCUAAUUAUUUUUCUCAAGCCUUCUCAAAAUGUCUGUUAGCAUUUGACUAUGAUGUUGUUGAUUUUGCAGCAUCUGCAACAUAAUUUGAUUUUGCUGCUGCAAAUGCUGCUAAAUCAAAUCCAACCUCCUUUCCCAAUUUCUCCCACCUAAUCCCUCCCCAUCCCCCCUUCUCUGCUCCUCUAUCAUUGACUCUCUUUGCCUUGCAUUUUCCUCGAUCUCUUUUUUUUCAAUUCCAGCUCCUCUCUUUUUAUCUCUGCAUCCUCUCGAAUUUUUUCUCUAGAAAUGCGAAGGUGUCAUUGCCAAUCGACUUCGUGUUUCCAACUUUUGUUUGUUUGCCAUCUCCUGCUUCCUUUUUCUUCUUUUACGCAGGGCAUUUUUUAAUGUAUUGUAAAACCACUUCAACAGGGGGUUUCACAAAUGCGAGUUCGUAGAUCGUUCGCAGAAACGUACACGAUAAAUACGGCAAAAACUGUUAUCCAAUUCUCUAUACACUUCUUCUAAUUCAUCAGUUCACGGCAAACGACUAAAGAAAUCUUAAACGGCUAACGACGAAAAUGUAACGGCAAACACAAUUCUUCAAGCUAGCGACAAGGUACACUGAGUUCGACAAAGCUUACGGCAGGACUGAACCUAACUAUAAAGCCACCCCUUUUAUACCCUAAGAAUAAUACAAUUUACAGAAGCUGAUGCAAUUGCAGCGCAAUGAUGCAAUUGUCAUGUGAUGUCCUGCAAUGAAUGGGAACCCUGUGUUCUAACAGUAUAAAGUGGUGGGGAAAUUCCCCACCAGCCCCUUUCAUCACCCCACCAGUUGAACAUGUUUGCCCCACCACUUAAGUGCCCUUAUGAUUUGGUGACCGUUUUACUUUUUACUUUAUUUGAGAUAUUUGUGGAUGAAAUCUUCAUUGAACAGGUUUCAAAUUUCAAUUCAUUUUUCCCCGGAACUGCUGCUUCUAUAGGUGAUUCCCCUUCUAAUUCACAAAGUCUGAAAUUUGGAAAACUCAUAUUUCAAGCUAUGCGCACUGUGCUCGAGAGCACGUGGCGCCACACGAGAACGAUGCAAAAGUACCUGCUGCUGAACGAACUCAGUUUUGUAAGUGUAAUGUUUUUUUAAAACCCAAAGCAAAGAAUUUUGUUUUACACUUGCUAGAGCUGUUAUGAAAGAAGAUGCCAAGGGCGGAAAGAAAUGCGAAAAGGAAAAAAGACCAAGCAACGACUAUUGCCGGCAAAUGCAGCAAAAUAACAUCUUUUUUAAUACACAGCAACAGUAGGGUGAGGGUACAAGAGUACCCAUUUGGCCUAAAGCCAGCAUCCCACCUAAUAAUUCUGAUCGCGAUGUCAU
This is a non-coding RNA of Rhopilema esculentum, 6432 nucleotides long. The record is from RefSeq and is a predicted model, not a curated record. Lineage: Eukaryota; Metazoa; Cnidaria; Scyphozoa; Rhizostomeae; Rhizostomatidae.